UACGUAGGGUGCGAGCGUUGUUCGGAGUUACUGGGCGUAAAGCGUGCGUAGGCGGUUUUGUAAGUUUGGUGUGAAAUCUCCCGGCUCAACUGGGAGGGUGCGCCGAAAACUGCAAGGCUGGAGUGUGGGAGAGGUAGGCGGAAUUCCUGGUGUAGCGGUGAAAUGCGUAGAUAUCAGGAGGAACACCUGUGGUGUAGACGGCUUACUGGACCAUGACUGACGCUGAGGCACGAAAGCGUGGGGAGCAAACAGG
RNAcentral lists this ribosomal RNA (253 nucleotides) under uncultured bacterium. RNAcentral's name for it is "partial 16S ribosomal RNA". It matches the Rfam family "Bacterial small subunit ribosomal RNA", at positions 524 to 776 of the family's 1533-position model. The record is from RNAcentral.